Molecule: non-coding RNA, 118 nt
Organism: Brachypodium distachyon (stiff brome)
Lineage: Eukaryota; Viridiplantae; Streptophyta; Magnoliopsida; Poales; Poaceae
Source: Rfam
AGCUGCGUGGUGAGCACAAAGCGAGCUAUUCUUUCGCCUUUUACUAAACAAUACCGUGUGCACGCCACAAAAAGCAGCAUACGCUAAUUUUUUGUAGGGUGUCUUCUUUUUAAGAAGG